GCGCCUGUAGCUCAACUGGAUAGAGCAACGGCCUUCUAAGCCGUAGGUUGCAGGUUCAAGUCCUGCCAGGUGCGCCA
RNAcentral lists this transfer RNA (77 nucleotides) under Alcanivorax jadensis. Its description in RNAcentral is "tRNA-Arg". It matches the Rfam family "tRNA". From Rfam's summary of the family: Transfer RNA (tRNA) molecules are approximately 80 nucleotides in length. Their secondary structure includes four short double-helical elements and three loops (D, anti-codon, and T loops). RNAcentral also lists the same sequence under 6 other names. Lineage: Bacteria; Pseudomonadati; Pseudomonadota; Gammaproteobacteria; Oceanospirillales; Alcanivoracaceae. The record is from RNAcentral.